AGAGUUUGAUCCUGGCUCAGAACGAACGCUGGCGGCAGGCUUAACACAUGCAAGUCGAACGAGACCUUCGGGUCUAGUGGCGCACGGGUGAGUAACGCGUGGGAACCUGUCCUAUGGUUCGGGAUACCUCCGGGAAACUGGAGUUAAUACCGGAUGUCUCCUCCGGGAGAAAGAUUUAUCGCCAUAGGGUGGGCCCGCGUCCGAUUAGCUAGUUGGUGGGGUAAAGGCCUACCAAGGCUUCGAUCGGUAGCUGGUCUGAGAGGAUGAUCAGCCACACUGGGACUGAGACACGGCCCAGACUCCUACGGGAGGCAGCAGUGGGGAAUAUUGGACAAUGGGGGCAACCCUGAUCCAGCCAUGCCGCGUGAGUGAUGAACUUCGGGUUGUAAAGCUCUUUCAGGUGCGACGAUGAUGACGGUAGCCCAGAAGAAGCCCCGGCUAACUUCGUGCCAGCAGCCGCGGUAAUACGAAGGGGGCGAGCGUUGUUCGGAAUUACUGGGCGUAAAGGGCGCGUAGGCGGCGUACCAAGUCAGGCGUGAAAGCCCUGGGCUUAACCCAGGAAUUGCGUUUGAGACUGGUAUGCUAGAGUGCAGGAGAGGUCGGCGGAAUUCCCAGUGUAGAGGUGAAAUUCGUAGAGAUUGGGAAGAACACCGGUGACGUAGGCGGCCGACUGGACUGUAACUGACGCUGAGGCGCGAAAGCGUGGGGACAAACAGGAUUAGAUACCCUAGUAGUCC
Molecule: ribosomal RNA, 737 nt
Filed under: uncultured bacterium
Lineage: Bacteria
Description: bacterial SSU rRNA
Rfam family: Bacterial small subunit ribosomal RNA
Source: RNAcentral